Non-coding RNA from Lactuca sativa (garden lettuce), 1183 nucleotides. The record is from RefSeq and is a predicted model, not a curated record. Lineage: Eukaryota; Viridiplantae; Streptophyta; Magnoliopsida; Asterales; Asteraceae.
UAUUUUUAUAAUUUUAGCUCUCCCGCUCCCAAUUUUAUUUUGCCGCUUCUCCCAAUUCAUUGCCCCAUUUUUAAACCCUAAUUUUGUUUAUGCGUGGCUGGGAAACCGAAAUCCACAAACGCAAAAAACAUAUUUUCUUUAACCUCUCCUGUCUGCCUCUCUUCGUCAAUAUAUCUAAUGGAUCACCUCAGGCCACUCAAUUCUUAUUGUCUCUCUCUCGCUCGAAAUAUCGCCUUCGUUCUGCCUCCGUAUAAUUUUGCGUUUUCCUGAAACAGACGUAGCCGAAAAGAUACAGAAGAAGUUUAAGAGAUGUGCAUUAACAAUCGAUUAAGGGGCAACGUCAAAUUUUGUAUCUUUCUGAAUUAUUGAUUCCUCUCAAACAUUAUUUUUAACGUGAAUAUUCCACCGAUCAGACAUUCAGCCCUUCCUUCAGGUAAAGAUGUCAUUAAAAAUACAAUCGAGAAUAUUUUUUUUCUCUUGUGGGGACAUAAAAUAUAGGCAUCUAAAUAAAGACUUUUAGGUCCCUGUCUCAGGCUUGGCAAUUGGAUGUAUAAGAAAAAUACAACAAACAAAGGUCGUUCCUCUUUCAAAAUUUUAUGAAAAUGCCCUUCUGUGCCGUAAGUUACAAAUAAAACUAACCUUUUAAUUCAAAUUGAUUUGAAUUUACUAAAUGGUUAAAGCUCAGUUUACAUCGUUUUCAUUUUCUAAUUUGGGAUUUAUCUUGGUCGAUUUAUGCUAAAUUUUGUGGUUUCUGAUGUUUGGUUCUGCUUAUUGAUCGAAUUUCUAGGGUUCUUGGAUUUUGAUUUGUAUUUAUUUGACUUCAUUGGAGAAACAAUGGGGUUUACUGUUGUAGGUUAUAGAGGAUCUGUUGUUUGUUGCAGGUUUGAUUUUUAUUUUCAGCAGCAAAAAUGGCUUGUAUGAAGUUGGGAUCCAAAGUAGAUGCAUUCCAGACACAAAGUUAAGCUUGAGUAAAAAAGAAAACGUAUACACCGUUAGAGGGCAUGAAACAGACAAGGAGCAACAGUAAGGUGAACAAACCAAAAUUGAUGGAGAAAUAGUUCUUAGUUUAUGUGUAAAGCCUUCAAUAUAUAUCUUUUGAUUACAAGUUAAUGUCUUAACUAUUUAAAUUGAAAACUUAUGUAUUGAUUUUUUAUUAUUAAUGUUAAUAUCAUUCUCUUUUUAA